UACAAAUCAGCUAAAGACCUGAGCUAAAGGCACACUUGGUCAACACCCCAGGAUUCCACCUUCCACCAUCUACCAAAUACCUGAAACCCUGCUUCACAGGCACCUGGAUCACUGCUACUCUUUUCCAAAGACUCCUAAUCUGAUGCUUCUCUGCAGAAAUUACUCCAUAGCAGGAAAACUCCCAGACAGGACAGUUCCAUCAACACUGACCUGGAAUGCAGACAAUAUGAGAAACAACUGAAACAGACCCUCAACAGACUUGUAGCAUGAGAAAGAAGGAAACUCGUUUUAUGGUUUUUUAUUACUGUAAC
Molecule: long non-coding RNA, 311 nt
Filed under: Equus caballus (horse)
Lineage: Eukaryota; Metazoa; Chordata; Mammalia; Perissodactyla; Equidae
Description: lncRNA (ENSECAG00000059317.1)
Source: RNAcentral